This 790-nucleotide ribosomal RNA is filed under the name Xiphinema sp. YH-2004. RNAcentral describes it as "eukaryotic LSU rRNA". It matches the Rfam family "Eukaryotic large subunit ribosomal RNA", at positions 373 to 928 of the family's 3401-position model. The record is from RNAcentral. Lineage: Eukaryota; Metazoa; Nematoda; Enoplea; Dorylaimida; Longidoridae.
ACUUUGAAGAGAGAGUUCAAAAGGGCGUGAAACCGCUUAGAAUAAAACGGACGGAGCCGUCUGUGGCCCUUCGGAAUCAGUCGAAUCGACGCGUGAAGGCGAGUACGACGCGAAAACACGGAACGAAAGUCCGGUCGUCUCGUAGUAAAAUAGUAGCCUGCUUCGUUCGAUGCAUUUCCGAAGGGUAAGCGCCGCGACCGAUGUCGAAGGCUAGUGAAACCGUCGGAUUGAGGUAGAGCUCGUUCGCGAGUCUCGUUACCAGUCCUUCGGUACGAAUAGAAAUCGCUAGACCCUAGCAUCGAGAAUAUAUAAUACAGAACGUSGGUGAACUAUAUACGCUCACCCGUUACGACGGAAGUGCGGCCGUUCGAUCGUCGCCUGCUCGCAGGUUACGGUCAGUAAUCAGGCUCGUAUCCGAAGUCGUCAGUGACGUUUCGACGUUCAGGAGUCCGCGGCGUCCGAGUCGGUCACCCGUCCGACCCGUCUUGAAACACGGACCAAGGAGUCUAACGUAAGCGCGAGCUAAUGGGCGGAAAACCCAUAAGCGAAAUAAAAGUAAAAGCCGUUUCGGACGGCCGAGGUACGAUCCCGAAGAACGAAAGUAUAUCUAAGGGCGCAGUACCGUCCCGUCCCGACCGCUCGUCGGUAGGGCGGAGAUAGAGCGCCUACGUUGGGACCCGAAAGAUGGUGAACUAUGCCUGAGCAGAGCGAAGCCAGAGGAAACUCUGGUGGAGGUUCGUAGCGGUUCUGACGUGCAAAUCGAUCGUCAGACUUGGGUAUAGGGGCGAAA